GCGGCCAUGCGGGGCGGGAAGCCCCCUCCUCCUCUCCUGGCCGCCAUGCCUGUGGCCUCAGGAGACAAGGUGAAUGCCGCACCUGUGGACUCUCAGCCCGUCUAGGAGGAGGAUAAAGCACAAAUCCGAAAUGCAGUGUCCCUGGAAGGGACGCCCUCUCUGGGCCCGCUGGCUCCCGUCUCAUUGGGCUGAAUGGGGUCAUGUGACCACUCUCCGCUGCAAAGGAGUCUGGGAAAUUGCAUUUUGUUGUUGUUGGAACUCAUUUUGAAGCCAAAUGAAACGAGAAUCGUGUCAACGAGGAAGGUUUAGGGAGGGGGUGGAUGUGUAGGCAACCAGCAGAGGGCCCCGAAAUCCGUGAAGAUCAGGUCUGACGGUGGCUCCAUGCUCCCUCCAUUAAAGGGCUUCACAAAAACCCUUCCGAAAAGAGCUGGGCAUCAGAGCACACUGAGCAGCAGGAUGAAAUGCCCACAGAGCUUCUGAGGCCAAGUCCUGUCUGACAGAACCACCGUGAGAACAGCUGGUACUCAUGGACCAGUGGCAGCUGGAUGACCCGCAGUCGCCAUCCACUGAAUCCUUCCAGGAACACCUGCACGUGGAAGCAGGGCUCUUUUCUUAGACCUGGCCUCUUCCCCAGUUGUGCCUGAGGGCAAGUGUCAGCUGGGCACCAUCUAACCUUCCAGGAGGGCACUUCAGUGGCUGCACCAGUCUUGCCUGGGUCUUGGGACAGCCUGAGAUUUAUGUCCAAGAUCUGUGAGCUUAAAACUCCUCAUGUUCGCCCUGCGGAUGUUUCACGUGCAAUUUGGGAAUUUGGGAACGCUCAAAAUAGCAUUUGCUCAUA
RNAcentral lists this long non-coding RNA (838 nucleotides) under Homo sapiens (human). Its description in RNAcentral is "HSALNT0387672". Lineage: Eukaryota; Metazoa; Chordata; Mammalia; Primates; Hominidae. The record is from RNAcentral.